RNAcentral lists this small RNA (620 nucleotides) under Pongo abelii (Sumatran orangutan). RNAcentral's name for it is "retained intron". Lineage: Eukaryota; Metazoa; Chordata; Mammalia; Primates; Hominidae. The record is from RNAcentral.
GCAUUUCCGCCUCUGGCGAAUGGCUCGGCUGUAGUGCACGCCGCGGGCCCAGCUGCGACCCCGGCCCCGCCCCCGGGACCCCGGCCAUGGACGUUUCACCGCAGGUUUUAGGGAGCAGGUCCUGACCCAGUUCCCCUGGGAGGGAGCCUGGCUUCUCUCCGUGGAGAGCAGAUUCCCCCUUGUGAGGAUGGGCAUUGGGUGUGUGCUGACCCUGAUCUCCCUCCCCUUUCAGAACUGUUCCCCCUCAUCUUCCCGGCAGAGCCAGCCCAGGCCUCUGGCCCCUAUGUGGAGAUCAUUGAGCAGCCCAAGCAGCGGGGCAUGCGCUUCCGCUACAAGUGCGAGGGGCGCUCCGCGGGCAGCAUCCCAGGCGAGAGGAGCACAGAUACCACCAAGACCCACCCCACCAUCAAGAUCAAUGGCUACACAGGACCAGGGACAGUACGCAUCUCCCUGGUCACCAAGGACCCUCCUCACCGGCCUCACCCCCACGAGCUUGUAGGAAAGGACUGCCGGGAUGGCUUCUAUGAGGCUGAGCUCUGCCCGGACCGCUGCAUCCACAGUUUCCAGAACCUGGGAAUCCAGUGUGUGAAGAAGCGGGACCUGGAGCAGGCUAUCAAUCA